This 733-nucleotide ribosomal RNA is filed under the name uncultured Actinomycetes bacterium. RNAcentral's name for it is "uncultured actinobacterium partial 16S ribosomal RNA". It matches the Rfam family "Bacterial large subunit ribosomal RNA", at positions 279 to 987 of the family's 2925-position model. The record is from RNAcentral. Lineage: Bacteria; Bacillati; Actinomycetota; Actinomycetes.
CGCGGCUGCUGGUGUGGGGUUGUGGGACCCACUUGUCGGGGCUGUCGACCCGGCGGGGAGUUGAGAAAGUGGCGUGAUUAGCGGAAGGCGUCUGGAAAGCGCCAGCGUAGAGGGUGACACUCCCGUACGCGAAAAUCCGUCACCUCCCGGUGGGGAUCCCAAGUAGCAGCGAGCCCGUGAAAUUCGCUGUGAAUCUGGCGGGACCACCCGCUAAGCCUAAAUACUCCCUGAUGACCGAUAGCGGACCAGUACCGUGAGGGAAAGGUGAAAAGUACCCCGGGAGGGGAGUGAAAUAGUACCUGAAACCGUGUGCCUACAAGCCGUCGGAGCCUUACGGGGUGACGGCGUGCCUUUUGAAGAAUGAGCCUGCGAGUUAGUGGUACGUGGCGAGGUUAACCCGGGUGGGGUAGCCGUAGCGAAAGCGAGUCCGAACAGGGCGAUCUAGUCGCGUGCUCUAGACCCGAAGCGGAGUGAUCUACCCAUGGCCAGGGUGAAGCGCGGGUAAGACCGUGUGGAGGCCCGAACCCACCAGGGUUGAAAACCUGGGGGAUGAGCUGUGGGUAGGGGUGAAAGGCCAAUCAAACUCCGUGAUAGCUGGUUCUCCCCGAAAUGCAUUUAGGUGCAGCGUCGUGUGCUUCUCGUCGGAGGUAGAGCACUGGAUGGUCUAGGGGGCCGACAAGCCUACCAAAAUCAGCCAAACUCCGAAUGCCGGCGAGCCAGCAGCCGCGGUAAU